RNAcentral lists this ribosomal RNA (409 nucleotides) under soil bacterium 6V-02. RNAcentral describes it as "bacterial SSU rRNA". It matches the Rfam family "Bacterial small subunit ribosomal RNA", at positions 24 to 463 of the family's 1533-position model. The record is from RNAcentral.
UCAGAACGAACGCUGGCGGCAGGCUUAACACAUGCAAGUCGAGCGCCCCGCAAGGGGAGCGGCAGACGGGUGAGUAACGCGUGGGAACGUACCCUUUGCUACGGAAUAGCUCCGGGAAACUGGAAUUAAUACCGUAUGUGCCCUUCGGGGGAAAGAUUUAUCGGCAAAGGAUCGGCCCGCGUUGGAUUAGCUAGUUGGUGGGGUAAAGGCCUACCAAGGCGACGAUCCAUAGCUGGUCUGAGAGGAUGAUCAGCCACAUUGGGACUGAGACACGGCCCAAACUCCUACGGGAGGCAGCAGUGGGGAAUAUUGGACAAUGGGCGCAAGCCUGAUCCAGCCAUGCCGCGUGAGUGAUGAAGGCCCUAGGGUUGUAAAGCUCUUUCACCGGAGAAGAUAAUGACGGUUCCGA